CCCAGACUCCUACGGGAGGCAGCAGUGAGGAAUAUUGGUCAAUGGCCGGAAGGCUGAACCAGCCAAGUCGCGUGAGGGAAUAAGGCCCUAUGGGUCGUAAACCUCUUUUGUCAGGGAGCAAAGGCGUCCACGAGUGGACGAAAGGAGAGUACCUGAAGAAAAAGCAUCGGCUAACUACGUGCCAGCAGCCGCGGUAAUACGUAGGGAGCGAGCGUUGUCCGGAAUUACUGGGUGUAAAGGGAGCGUAGGCGGGACUGCAAGUUGGGUGUCAAAUCUACCGGCUCAACCGGUAGCCGCACUCAAAACUGCAGUUCUUGAGUGAAGUAGAGGCAGGCGGAAUUCCUAGUGUAGCGGUGAAAUGCGUAGAUAUUAGGAGGAACACCAGUGGCGAAGGCGGCCUGCUGGGCUUUUACUGACGCUGAGGCUCGAAAGUGUGGGGAGCAAACAGGAUUAGAUACCCUAGUA
Molecule: ribosomal RNA, 465 nt
Filed under: uncultured bacterium
Lineage: Bacteria
Description: bacterial SSU rRNA
Rfam family: Bacterial small subunit ribosomal RNA
Source: RNAcentral